GAUGAAGAACGCAGCGAAAUGUGAUACUUGGUGUGAAUUGCAGAAUCCCGUGAACCAUCGAGUCUUUGAACGCAAGUUGCGCCCGAAGCCAUCAGGUUGAGGGCACGUCUGCCUGGGCGUCACAUAUCGUUGCCCAAUGCCUAUUGCAGUGCAAUAGGAAUUUCUAGGGCGAAUGAUGGCUUCCCGUGAGCGUUGUUGCCUCGCGGUUGGUUGAAAAUCGAGUCCUUGGUAGGGUGUGCCAUGAUAGAUGGUGGUCGAGUUUGCACGAGACCGAUCAUGUGUGCGCUCCCCAAAAUAUGGACUCUUUGACCCCACACGCGUCUUUUGACGCUCAUGACGAGACCUCAGGUCAGGCGGGGCUACCCGCUGAGUUUAAGCAUAUCAAUAAGCGAGGA
This 395-nucleotide unclassified non-coding RNA is filed under the name soil metagenome. RNAcentral's name for it is "partial contains 5.8S ribosomal RNA, internal transcribed spacer 2, and large subunit ribosomal RNA". The stretch from base 1 to 122 matches the Rfam family "5.8S ribosomal RNA", at positions 35 to 154 of the family's 154-position model. The record is from RNAcentral.